AUGGCUAAGUCACACACAUUGGUUGCGGUAUUGUUGCUUGUCAUGGCAGUGUCCCUCGCUGCACUAGAGGGUGUUCAUGGCGUCUGCGGCAUGUCAAAUGAUGAAUUCAAGCUUUGUUAGCCCGCGGCGGCAGUGAAUAACCCGACAGACAGUCCAUCGGCUGAGUGUUGUGCUGCCCUUGGGAAGGCCAACCUAUCAUGCAUCUGCCGCUACAAGGGCAUCGCCGGCAUAUGGCUGAGAAUGUACCACAUCGAUGCAAACCGUCCCAUGGCGCUACCCAAAAAGUGUGGUCUCGCCAUGCCAAACAACUGCUCUUGAUGA
RNAcentral lists this ribosomal RNA (321 nucleotides) under Triticum aestivum (bread wheat). Its description in RNAcentral is "partial small subunit ribosomal RNA". Lineage: Eukaryota; Viridiplantae; Streptophyta; Magnoliopsida; Poales; Poaceae. The record is from RNAcentral.